This 301-nucleotide ribosomal RNA is filed under the name uncultured bacterium. RNAcentral's name for it is "partial 16S ribosomal RNA". It matches the Rfam family "Bacterial small subunit ribosomal RNA", at positions 509 to 807 of the family's 1533-position model. The record is from RNAcentral.
CAGUAGCCGCGGUAAUACGUAGGUGGCAAGCGUUGUCCGGAGUUAUUGGGCGUAAAGGGCUCGCAGGCGGUUUCUUAAGUCUGAUGUGAAAGCCCCCGGCUCAACCGGGGAGGGUCAUUGGGAACUGGGAAACUUGAGUGCAGAAGAGGAGAGUGGAAUUCCACGUGUAGCGGUGAAAUGCGUAGAGAUGUGGAGGAACACCAGUGGCGAAGGCGACUCUCUGGUCUGUAACUGACGCUGAGGAGCGAAAGCGUGGGGAGCGAACAGGAUUAGAUACCCCAGUAGUCCCUGUCUCUUAUAC